UACGUAGGGGGCGAGCGUUGUCCGGAAUCAUUGGGCGUAAAGGGCGCGUAGGCGGCUUUUCAAGUGACGGGUGAAAUCCCUCGGCUUAACCGAGGAACUGCCUGUCAGACUGGAAGGCUUGAGACCGGGAGAGGUGAGUGGAAUUCCCAGUGUAGCGGUGAAAUGCGUAGAUAUUGGGAGGAACACCAGUGGCGAAGGCGGCUCACUGGACCGGAACUGACGCUGAGGCGCGAAAGCGUGGGGAGCAAACAGG
RNAcentral lists this ribosomal RNA (253 nucleotides) under uncultured bacterium. RNAcentral describes it as "partial 16S ribosomal RNA". It matches the Rfam family "Bacterial small subunit ribosomal RNA", at positions 524 to 776 of the family's 1533-position model. The record is from RNAcentral.